GCUCUUUGUGGAAUGUACUUGAGCAGCCAUGACAACGUCUGUCAUCUGCCACCAAAGGAGUAGAAUAAAUUCAGAAAGUCCUGCCGGAGCUCUUGGUUCUCCCCUCUCCACUACUCCGCUUUGUGUAAUCCUGCUUGCUACAUUCCCAGGGAAACUCCAGUGGAAUGAAGCCUCAUCCAGGAUUCCUACGACAUACAUAAAAGUAAGACUAUAGACUUGUAACCAAGAAACCGGC
RNAcentral lists this long non-coding RNA (235 nucleotides) under Fukomys damarensis (Damara mole-rat). Its description in RNAcentral is "lncRNA (ENSFDAG00000022878.1)". The record is from RNAcentral. Lineage: Eukaryota; Metazoa; Chordata; Mammalia; Rodentia; Bathyergidae.